GGGGCUAGCCUCAAGGUGAGAGAUACGGAGGUAGAGCACUGAAUGUCCUAGGGGGUAUUGCACCUACCGAAGACUAUCAAACUCCGAAUGCCGUCAUCUUAUACUUGGGAGUCAGACUGUGGGUGAUAAGAUUCAUAGUCGAAAGGGCAACAGCCCAGAUCGUCAGCUAAGGUCCCUAAAUGUAAGUUAAGUGGUAAAGGAUGUGGGAUUGCACAGACAACCAGGAUGUUGGCUUAGAAGCAGCCACUCAUUCAAAGAGUGCGUAAUAGCUCACUGGUCGAGUGAUCCUGCGCCGAAGAUUUCCGGGGCUAAAACUUACUACCGAAGCUACGGCAUCAGUAAUGAUGGGUAGGGGAGCUUCCCAUACGGGUUGAAGCAUGACCGUAAGGACAUGUGGACAGUAUGGGAGUGAGAAUGUUGGCAUGAGUAGCGAGAUGUGGGUGAGAAUCCCACAGGCCGUAAACCCAAGGUUUCCAGGGGAAGGUUCGUCCGCCCUGGGUUAGUCGGGACCUAAGCUGAGGCCGAAAGGCGUAGGUGAUGGACAACAUAGUUGAUAUUCCUGUACUACCGAUAACCGUUUGAGAGAAGGGAUGACACAGUAGGAUAAGCUGAGCACACUGUUGGUUAUGUGUGCCCAAGCAUUGAGGCAGUCAAAGUAGGCAAAUCCGCUUUGAUAAUGCUGGGAUGUGAUGGGGAGCGAAAUUUAGUAGCGAAGUAGCUGAUUUCACACUGUCAAGAAAAGUCUCUAUCGAGGUUAAAGGUACCCGUACCGCAAACCGACACAGGUGGGUGAGGAGAGUAUCCUAAGGCCAGCGAGAGAACUGUUGUUAAGGAACUCGGCAAAAUGACCCCGUAACUUAGGGAUAAGGGGUGCCACCAUCAGGUGGCCGCAGAGAAUAGGCCCAAGCGACUGUUUACCAAAAACAUAGGUUUCUGCUAAGUCGCAAGACGAUGUAUAGGAGCUGACGCCUGCCCGGUGCUGGAAGGUUAAGGGGAUCUGUUAGAGCAAUCGAAGCAGUGAACUUAAGCCCCAGUAAACGGCGGCCGUAACUAUAACGGUCCUAAGGUAGCGAAAUUCCUUGUCGGGUAAGUUCCGACCCGCACGAAAGGCGUAACGAUUUGGGCACUGUCUCAACAACAGACUCGGUGAAAUUGUAAUUCCGGUGAAGAUGCCGGAUACCUGCGACAGGACGGAAAGACCCCAUGGAGCUUUACUGUAGCUUGACAUUGGGUCUUGGUACUACAUGUACAGGAUAGGUGGGAGGCUUUGAAACCAGGACGCCAGUUUUGGCGGAGCCAUCCUUGGGAUACCACCCUUGUAGUACUGGGACUCUAACCAUAGGCCAUGAAUCUGGUCUUGGGACACUGUCAGGUGGGCAGUUUGACUGGGGCGGUCGCCUCCCAAAAGGUAACGGAGGCGCUCAAAGGUUCUCUCAGUACGGUCGGAAAUCGUACGUAGAGUGUAAAGGCAAAAGAGAGCUUGAUUGCAAGACAUACAGGUCGAGCAAGGAUGAAAAUCGGACUUAGUGAUCCGGUGGUUCUGCGUGGAAGGGCCAUCGCUCAACGGAUAAAAGCUACCCUGGGGAUAACAGGCUUAUCUCCCCCAAGAGUCCACAUCGACGGGGAGGUUUGGCACCUCGAUGUCGGCUCAUCACAUCCUGGGGCUGUAGUAGGUCCCAAGGGUUGGGCUGUUCGCCCAUUAAAGUGGUACGCGAGCUGGGUUCAGAACGUCGUGAGACAGUUCGGUCCCUAUCCGUCGCAGGGACGUAGGAAAUUUGAGAAGACCUGUCCUUAGUACGAGAGGACCGGGAUGGACGUACCUCUGGUGUACCAGUUGUCCUGCCAAGGGCAUGGCUGGGUAGCUAUGUACGGAAUGGAUAAGCGCUGAAAGCAUCUAAGCGCGAAGCCAACUUCAAGAUAAGAUUUCCCACCGCAAGGGUAAGACCCCAGAAAGACUAUCUGGUUGAUAGGUCGAAGGUGUAAGUGCAGCAAUGUAUUUAGCUUAUCGAUACUAAUAGGUCGAGGACUUGACCA
RNAcentral lists this ribosomal RNA (2034 nucleotides) under Clostridioides difficile DA00261. Its description in RNAcentral is "bacterial LSU rRNA". It matches the Rfam family "Bacterial large subunit ribosomal RNA", at positions 872 to 2925 of the family's 2925-position model. Lineage: Bacteria; Bacillati; Bacillota; Clostridia; Peptostreptococcales; Peptostreptococcaceae. The record is from RNAcentral.